UUAAUUCGAAGCAACGCGAAGAACCUUACCAGGUCUUGACAUCCUUUGACCACUCUGGAGACAGAGCUUUCCCUUCGGGGACAAAGUGACAGGUGGUGCAUGGUUGUCGUCAGCUCGUGUCGUGAGAUGUUGGGUUAAGUCCCGCAACGAGCGCAACCCUUGAUUUUAGUUGCCAGCAUUUAGUUGGGCACUCUAAAGUGACUGCCGGUGCAAGCCGGAGGAAGGUGGGGAUGACGUCAAAUCAUCAUGCCCCUUAUGACCUGGGCUACACACGUGCUACAAUGGAUAGUACAAAGGGUCGCGAAGCCGCGAGGUGGAGCUAAUCCCAUAAAACUAUUCUCAGUUCGGAUUGUAGGCUGCAACUCGCCUACAUGAAGCCGGAAUCGCUAGUAAUCGUGGAUCAGCAUGCCACGGUGAAUACGUUCCCGGGCCUUGUACACACCGCCCGUCACACCACGAGAGUUUGUAACACCCGAAGUCGGUAGGGUAACCUUUAUGGAGCCAGCCGCCGAAGGUGGGACAGAUAAUUGGGGUGAAGUCGUAACAAGGUAGCCGUAUCGGAAG
RNAcentral lists this ribosomal RNA (564 nucleotides) under Listeria monocytogenes. RNAcentral describes it as "bacterial SSU rRNA". It matches the Rfam family "Bacterial small subunit ribosomal RNA", at positions 946 to 1511 of the family's 1533-position model. Lineage: Bacteria; Bacillati; Bacillota; Bacilli; Caryophanales; Listeriaceae. The record is from RNAcentral.